GACGAACGCUGGCGGCGUGCUUAACACAUGCAAGUCGAACGGAAAGGCCCUGCUUUUGUGGGGUGCUCGAGUAGCGAACGGGUGAGUAACACGUGAGUUACCUGCCCCUGACUUUGGGAUAACUUCAUGAAACUGGGGCUAAUACCGGAUAGGAGUUCCUGCUUCAUGGUGGUGGUUGGUAUGAUUCGGCGGUUGGGGAUGGACUCGCGGCUUAUCAGUUUGUUGGCGGGGUAGUGGCUUACCAAGGCUUUGACGGGUAGCCGGCCUGAGAGGGUGGCCGGCCACAAUGGGACUGGGAUACGGCCCAGACUCCUACGGGAGGCAAGAGGGGGGAAUAUUGCACAAUGGGCGGAAGCCUGAUGCAGCAACGCCGCGUGCGGGAUAACAGCCUUCGGGUUGUAAACCGCUUUCGCCUGUGACGAGGCGUGAAUGACGGUAAUGGGUGAAGAAGCACCGGCUAACUACGUG
Molecule: ribosomal RNA, 468 nt
Filed under: uncultured bacterium
Lineage: Bacteria
Description: partial 16S ribosomal RNA
Rfam family: Bacterial small subunit ribosomal RNA
Source: RNAcentral